UACGAAGGGGGCUAGCGUUGUUCGGAAUUACUGGGCGUAAAGCGAGCGCAGGCGGUUUGAUUAGUAAGAAGUGAAAGCCUUGGGCUCAACCUGUGAACUGCUUUUGAUACUGUCAAGCUAGAAUAUGGGAGAGGAUAGUGGAAUUCUUGGUGUAGGGGUGAAAUCCGCAGAUAUCAAGAGGAAUACCAAUGGCGAAGGCAUCUAUCUGGAACAAUAUUUACGCUGAGGCUCGAAAGCGUGGGGAGCAAACAGG
RNAcentral lists this ribosomal RNA (253 nucleotides) under uncultured bacterium. RNAcentral's name for it is "partial 16S ribosomal RNA". It matches the Rfam family "Bacterial small subunit ribosomal RNA", at positions 524 to 776 of the family's 1533-position model. The record is from RNAcentral.